This 361-nucleotide ribosomal RNA is filed under the name uncultured bacterium. RNAcentral's name for it is "bacterial SSU rRNA". It matches the Rfam family "Bacterial small subunit ribosomal RNA", at positions 152 to 507 of the family's 1533-position model. The record is from RNAcentral.
CGAAAGAGUGGCUAAUACCGCAUGAGAACUGAGGUUGAAAGGCGGGGACCGUUCGGGCCUCGCGCUACUGGAGCGGCCGAUAUCAGAUUAGGUAGUUGGUGGGGUAAAGGCCUACCAAGCCGACGAUCUGUAGCUGGUCUGAGAGGACGACCAGCCACACUGGGACUGAGACACGGCCCAGACUCCUACGGGAGGCAGCAGUGGGGAAUUUUGGACAAUGGACGCAAGUCUGAUCCAGCAAUGCCGCGUGCAGGACGAAGGCCUUCGGGUUGUAAACUGCUUUUGUACAGAACGAAAAGGCUCUGGUUAAUACCUGGGGCUCAUGACGAUACUGUAAGAAUAAGCACCGGCUAACUACGUG